This 704-nucleotide long non-coding RNA is filed under the name Sitophilus oryzae (rice weevil). Its description in RNAcentral is "uncharacterized LOC115888600, transcript variant X1". The record is from RNAcentral. Lineage: Eukaryota; Metazoa; Arthropoda; Insecta; Coleoptera; Curculionidae.
UAUUUGUAUUAUAUGUAAAAAUUAGAGUCAAUCAAAAGUGUAGUAAACAUUUUUCGUAAGAUUAUUGACAUACAUGUUAUAAAGUAUAUUUUUAUAAUCCUUUCUAUAAAGUUACAACCUGAAUAAAAUUUAUUUUUAAUGAUUUUAAAGUUAGACAGACAUGCACAAAUUGUUGGCAUUUUUUUAAACAAAUAAAAGUAGGAAAUAAAUAAAGUUGUAGGUACUUUCAAGAAAUAUAGUUAACUGUAAGUGCUGUAUUUUAAUAAUCUAUCAAAAAUCAAAAUCAUCAGGAUAAUAUUAGGUAUUGAUUUUCAAACAAGAAUUAGAUUACAGCGAUGGUCAAAAGCAUUUAGAUAUUGCUUUGAAAUCUACAGAUAAGGUAUGGCAGUUUCGUUUUAAAGAACAAGAUGUUAAAGUUUAUGAUAAAAUUGUCAUCAGAAAUACUGUCCACUUGCAGUAUUUACAUAGGAAAAUGUUGGAGGAUGAAGCUCUACCUACUGCCUCAGGUUAAUUUAAAUUCUGAGUUGCAACAACAGCAACAAGCAAGAAGGGCACCGUUAAAUGAAUAUUAUACACAUAAAGCAACAACAGAAUAAAAAACCAAAAUAUGAACACCAGCAACUAAAACAGGAACCAUUAAAUGAAUAUUAUAUACAGAUCAACAUUUUGUAGAGCAAUAACAGCAUCAAAUAAUGGAAAUAAUG